AUGAUAAGGCAUCAUUUGUGUUCGAGCAGGAUAUUAUCAAUGAUGGGGGAAUCAUCAAUGAAAUUUGACAAUAUAGGGAUGCACGCUAUAUAUCUCCUCCCAAAGCUAUCUACAGGAUUUUCGGCUUUAAAAUGUUUGGUGUCAGCCCAACUGUGUUACAGCUCCAGCUUCAUUUGCCAAACAUGCAUACAAUCGCAUUUCAGGCUUAUGAAAAUCUAG
This 219-nucleotide ribosomal RNA is filed under the name Triticum aestivum (bread wheat). Its description in RNAcentral is "partial small subunit ribosomal RNA". The record is from RNAcentral. Lineage: Eukaryota; Viridiplantae; Streptophyta; Magnoliopsida; Poales; Poaceae.